CCCAGGGCCUGCGUCCCGCACGCAUGUUGCUCUGCCGCUGGGUCUCUCCUAUCGCUGCUCACUUCAGACCUCGCCAGCCAAGACUUCCCUCCCAGGAUGUCUAUUUGGAAAGGAAUCCGUGGGUACGACUUCUCCCACACACCCCGGGGGCUUUGCCAAAUUCCGAAAAGGGAGCCUCUCCGCAAGGUAUGGAAGAUGACUGGACUAAAAUGACACCUGCCUGUCCUGGCGGAUGGGUCAGCCGCCGUUCCCGUGUACUUGCUUAGGGAGUCAAAGACAGCUGUAAAGCUGGCAGGAAUGCAGAUGAAAGCAACUUCCAUUCAUGUCAUCUUCAAAUUAUUUUCAAACACACCUCUGCUUUAUGACUGCUCAUGUCAUUUGUAAUUUAAAGCUCAAACAAACGAUGCAUUAUUUUAUGCUCAUUUUUAAUUUGCAGAGAGAAAAGUCAGGAUUUAUAAUUAAAGAAUGUGGCUCAAAUUCAAGGCCUGUUUAGUGGGAAGCAGAGAAAAGAUCAAACAUGUGACUGAAGAAUACAUGAAAAAAAAAUUUCA
Sus scrofa (pig) is the source of this 551-nucleotide long non-coding RNA. RefSeq lists it as uncharacterized. The record is from RefSeq and is a predicted model, not a curated record. Lineage: Eukaryota; Metazoa; Chordata; Mammalia; Artiodactyla; Suidae.